AAGCGCUUCCAACCAGACUCCGCGGCGGUGUUCCGCCGGUCUUCUGACCGGUCUACUCGCCGCCGUGGGGCCAACAUCGUCUGGGGCCGCCGGAUAAGACCGGAGGAAUGUAGCUCUUUGAGUGUUAUAGCCUCCGGUGAUGCGGCGCGUCCCGGGCGAGGUCCGCGCUUCGGCUAGGAUGUUGGCGUAAUGGUUGGCAGCGG
This 203-nucleotide ribosomal RNA is filed under the name Zasmidium sp. RNAcentral describes it as "partial large subunit ribosomal RNA". Lineage: Eukaryota; Fungi; Ascomycota; Dothideomycetes; Mycosphaerellales; Mycosphaerellaceae. The record is from RNAcentral.